AACGAACGCUGGCGGCAUGCCUAACACAUGCAAGUCGAACGAGACCUUCGGGUCUAGUGGCGCACGGGUGCGUAACGCGUGGGAAUCUGCCCUUGGGUUCGGGAAUAACAGUUAGAAAUGACUGCUAAUACCGGAUGAUGUCUUCGGACCAAAGAUUUAUCGCCCAAGGAUGAGCCCGCGUAAGAUUAGCUAGUUGGUGAGGUAAUGGCUCACCAAGGCGACGAUCUUUAGCUGGUCUGAGAGGAUGAUCAGCCACACUGGGACUGAGACACGGCCCAGACUCCUACGGGAGGCAGCAGUGGGGAAUAUUGGACAAUGGGCGAAAGCCUGAUCCAGCAAUGCCGCGUGAGUGAUGAAGGCCUUAGGGUUGUAAAGCUCUUUUACCAGGGAUGAUAAUGACAGUGCCUGGAGAAUAAGCUCCGGCUAACUCCGUG
This 434-nucleotide ribosomal RNA is filed under the name uncultured bacterium. RNAcentral describes it as "bacterial SSU rRNA". It matches the Rfam family "Bacterial small subunit ribosomal RNA", at positions 29 to 507 of the family's 1533-position model. The record is from RNAcentral.